UACGGAAGGCAGCAGUGGGGAAUAUUGCACAAUGGGCGAAAGCCUGAUGCAGCUAUGCCGCGUGUAUGAAGAAGGCCUUAGGGUUGUAAAGUACUUUCAUCGGGGAGGAAAAACAAAACUAAUAAUUUUAUUUCUUGACGUUACCCGAAAAAGAAGCACCGGCUAACUCCGUGCCAGCAGCCGCGGUAAUACGGAGGGUGCUAGCGUUAAUCAGAAUUACUGGGCGUAAAGAGCACGUAGGUGGUUUUUUUAAGUUCAGAUGUGAAAUCCCUGGGCUUAACCUAGGAACUGCAUUUUGAAACUGAAAUACUAGAGUAUCGUAGAGGGAGGUAGAAUUCUAGGUGUAGCGGUGAAAUGCGUAGAUAUCUGGAGGAAUACCUGUGGCGAAAGCGGCCUCCUAAACGAAUACUGACACUGAGGUGCGAAAGCUGGGGAGCAAACAGGGAUUAGAUACCCGU
This 458-nucleotide ribosomal RNA is filed under the name uncultured bacterium. Its description in RNAcentral is "bacterial SSU rRNA". It matches the Rfam family "Bacterial small subunit ribosomal RNA", at positions 340 to 789 of the family's 1533-position model. The record is from RNAcentral.